This 754-nucleotide ribosomal RNA is filed under the name uncultured bacterium. RNAcentral describes it as "bacterial SSU rRNA". It matches the Rfam family "Bacterial small subunit ribosomal RNA", at positions 561 to 1314 of the family's 1533-position model. The record is from RNAcentral.
UAAAGAGCUCGUAGGUGGUUUGUCGCGUCGUCUGUGAAAUUCCGGGGCUUAACUCCGGGCGUGCAGGCGAUACGGGCUGACUUGAGUGCUGUAGGGGAGACUGGAAUUCCUGGUGUAGCGGUGAAAUGCGCAGAUAUCAGGAGGAACCCCCGAUGGCGAAGGCAGGUCUCUGGGCAGUUACUGACGCUGAGGAGCGAAAGCAUGGGUAGCGAACAGGAUUAGAUACCCUGGUAGUCCAUGCCGUAAACGGUGGGCGCUAGGUGUGAGUCCCUUCCACGGGGUUCGUGCCGUAGCUAACGCAUUAAGCGCCCCGCCUGGGGAGUACGGCCGCAAGGCUAAAACUCAAAGGAAUUGACGGGGGCCCGCACAAGCGGCGGAGCAUGUGGAUUAAUUCGAUGCAACGCGAAGAACCUUACCUGGGCUUGACAUAUACAGGAUUGCUGCAGAGAUGUAGUUUCCCUUGUGGCUUGUAUACAGGUGGUGCAUGGUUGUCGUCAGCUCGUGUCGUGAGAUGUUGGGUUAAGUCCCGCAACGAGCGCAACCCUUGUCUUAUGUUGCCAGCACGUUAUGGUGGGGACUCAUGAGAGACUGCCGGGGUCAACUCGGAGGAAGGUGGGGAUGACGUCAAAUCAUCAUGCCCCUUAUGUCCAGGGCUUCACACGUGCUACAAUGGUCGGUACAAUGCGCAGCGACACUGUGAGGUGGAGCGAAUCGCUGAAAGCCGGUCUUAGUUCGGAUUGGGGUCUGCAACUCG